Molecule: ribosomal RNA, 144 nt
Filed under: Stramenopiles sp.
Lineage: Eukaryota
Description: partial small subunit ribosomal RNA
Rfam family: Eukaryotic small subunit ribosomal RNA
Source: RNAcentral
AGUUGGUGGAGUGAUUUGUCUGGUUAAUUCCGUUAACGAACGAGACCUCAGCCUGCUAAAUAGUAUAUGUUUUCUCACGAAAGCAUAAGACUUCUUAGAGGGACAUUUCGGUUUUACCGGAAGGAAGUUUGAGGCAAUAACAGG